Pygocentrus nattereri (red-bellied piranha) is the source of this 134-nucleotide small nucleolar RNA. Its record names the gene U8. It matches the Rfam family "U8 small nucleolar RNA". Rfam says of the family: U8 is a member of the C/D class of snoRNA which contain the C (UGAUGA) and D (CUGA) box motifs. NCBI's taxonomy places the organism in Eukaryota, Metazoa, Chordata, Actinopteri, Characiformes, Serrasalmidae. The record is from Ensembl.
AUAUCAGUAAGGUGUAUCCUUACCCGAUUAGCCUUAGAAAUAAGGUGGUAGAACAUAAUGGUUGGAUUGAAGUAGUGUGUGAUUACAUUCCGCCUUCAUCAGGGCAUUGCAACCUCUGUUGAAUCCUGUCUGAG